UGUGUGUGUGUGUUAAGUCAAGUCACCUUUAUUUAUAUAGCGCAGUAUAUACAAUACAGCUUGUAUAAAAGCAGUUUUA
This is a long non-coding RNA of Sinocyclocheilus rhinocerous, 79 nucleotides long. RefSeq lists it as uncharacterized. The transcript has 3 exons. Lineage: Eukaryota; Metazoa; Chordata; Actinopteri; Cypriniformes; Cyprinidae. The record is from RefSeq and is a predicted model, not a curated record.